GUGGGGAAUCUUAGACAAUGGGCGCAAGCCUGAUCUAGCCAUGCCGCGUGAGCGAUGAAGGCCUUAGGGUUGUAAAGCUCUUUCAGCUGGGAAGAUAAUGACGGUACCAGCAGAAGAAGCCCCGGCUAACUCCGUGCCAGCAGCCGCGGUAAUACGGAGGGGGCUAGCGUUGUUCGGAAUUACUGGGCGUAAAGCGCACGUAGGCGGAUCAGAAAGUCAGAGGUGAAAUCCCAGGGCUCAACCUUGGAACUGCCUUUGAAACUCCUGAUCUUGAGGUCGAGAGAGGUGAGUGGAAUUCCGGGUGUAGAGGUGAAAUUCGUAGAUAUUCGGAGGAACACCAGUGGCGAAGGCGGCUCACUGGCUCGAUACUGAUGCUGAGGUGCGAAAGCGUGGGGAGCAAACAGGAUUAGAAACCCGAGUAGUCC
Molecule: ribosomal RNA, 425 nt
Filed under: uncultured bacterium
Lineage: Bacteria
Description: partial 16S ribosomal RNA
Rfam family: Bacterial small subunit ribosomal RNA
Source: RNAcentral